GAUGAACGCUGGCGGCGUGCCUAAUACAUGCAAGUCGAACGCAUAGCGAAAGGUGCUUGCACCUUUCAAGUGCGUGGCGAACGGGUGAGUAACACGUGGACAACCUGCCUCAAGGCUGGGGAUAACAUUUGGAAACAGAUGCUAAUACCGAAUAAAACUUAGUGUCGCAUGACACAAAGUUAAAAGGCGCUUCGGCGUCACCUAGAGAUGGAUCCGCGGUGCAUUAGUUAGUUGGUGGGGUAAAGGCCUACCAAGACAAUGAUGCAUAGCCGAGUUGAGAGGAUGGUCAGGCAAAAUUGAAAUGAGACAAGGGCAAAAACCCCAAGGGGGGGCGCAGGUGGGGAAAUUGCAAAAAGGGGGAAAGCCUGAAGGGGGCAAGGCGGGGGGGUGAAGAAAGGCUUUGGGGUGGAAAAGACCUUUUGUAGGGAAAAAAGGGAGAAAAUAGAAAAUGAUUUUGGUUGAAGGGAACAAAACAAGAAAGGGAGGCCAAAAUAGGG
This 497-nucleotide ribosomal RNA is filed under the name uncultured bacterium. RNAcentral describes it as "partial 16S ribosomal RNA". It matches the Rfam family "Bacterial small subunit ribosomal RNA", at positions 28 to 506 of the family's 1533-position model. The record is from RNAcentral.